This 254-nucleotide ribosomal RNA is filed under the name uncultured bacterium. RNAcentral's name for it is "partial 16S ribosomal RNA". It matches the Rfam family "Bacterial small subunit ribosomal RNA", at positions 524 to 776 of the family's 1533-position model. The record is from RNAcentral.
GACGAACCGUGCGAACGUUAUUCGGAAUCACUGGGCCUAUAGCGCGUGUAGGCGGCCCGGCACGUCUCUGGCUGAAAUCCCCCGGCUCAACCGGGGAAGGGGCCGGGAUGCGACCGGGCUGGAGGGGGGUAGGGGGGACGGGAACUCCGGGUGGAGCGGUGAAAUGCGUUGAGAUCCGGAGGAACGCCCGCGGCGAAAGCGCGUCCCUGGACCCCGCCUGACGCUGAGACGCGAAAGCCAGGGGAGCGAACGGG